UACGUAGGAGACGAGCGUUGUCCGGAAUUACUAGGCGUAAAGGGCGCGCAGGCUGUAGAUCAAGUCAGCUGUGAAAUGUCUGGGCUUAACCCGGGCAUGCGGUUGAAACUGAUGUACUGGAGUGCUGUAGAGGCAAGUGGAAUUCCCAGUGUAGCGGUGAAAUGCGUAGAUAUUGGGAAGAACACCGGUGGCGAAGGCGACUUGCUGGGCAGCAACUGACGCUGAGGCGCGAAAGCCAGGGGAGCAAACGGGAUUA
Molecule: ribosomal RNA, 256 nt
Filed under: uncultured prokaryote
Description: partial 16S ribosomal RNA
Rfam family: Bacterial small subunit ribosomal RNA
Source: RNAcentral